AAAUAUAAAAAUUUGCAGAAGUAUUUUUAUUUUGCAGAGAAUUGUUUACCUUUAACCCCCGAGGGGGAGACGCGUACAGAGGCAUUAGUGGCGGUGUAGGAAAAGCUACCUUGUUCAGGAAAAGGAACGAUAGCUUCUAAACUGCUACCAUUACAGGGAAGUGCACCAGGAGGCUUUCUCUCCCACACAUCAGCGCGGGCGGAAUCUGGCAGCAGGAAGCCAUUGCCUUUGAAGAGAGUCCAGGGGAGCUUCGGAAGGAACAUGUGGGCCAGAAUCUGCCAGCCGCCUUUAUUACCUCCGGAACUGCCUCCGAGUUGCAGUACCUACAGAGUGAUUCUUAAGAAGAUUUUGGUGGCAAUGAAUCUCGGAAAGCCUGUUGAUGUUUUCAUGGGGUCAGCAUUCCUCAUCUUCUAGUCAUGAAUACCAAAGAGGAAGUAUAAUACUGCAGGUAAAAGGAAAAUCCAGUCAUCCAAACAUUUUCGGACAUCUGAGCUAGAAGUGACGCACUGUAACAUAACCGAGAUCCAGCAAUUAAUUGGGAAAUAUUCGGCAACGUCUACCAAUCAUUUUGUGGAAGUAUAGAAGGGAAAUCUCUGGGCGAUUCCAUGACAGGAGCACAGCAUGAAGAAACACAGUCUGAGCAUGAACAGAAAAUCUUUCCAAAUCUCCACCUUCCUUUAGAAGAUUACUUCUGAGAUGAAGCGACAUCAAGCCUUCAUAUCCCUGAAUGUGAAAUGAGAAAUCUUCCCGCUGUCACUGCUUCUGCAGGAGAAGAGGUGGUGCAAGGUGCUCACAGAUGCCCUGUAUCCCACUCAGUGAUUUCAAGUGGGGCGGGCAUCACAAAGAAGCGAUGAGGCCGUACCUGGGCCUUAGCAGCAAAGAAACCAAAGUAAUUAGGUCAGAUUAAAGCAAAGAAAGAUCAAUGACUUUUCCAAACAGAGGUCUAAGUGACGUGACCACAAUCGCUUUGGCAAGAAAAAAAUUGUGGUGCAUAUGGUCACGGGCAGCAAUGCUUUAAUUUCCCAAUGUUUAGCUCACAUGACAUUGCUAUUAAACGUGUUUAACUUAGGAUGGCAUAUGCAGUCACUUCAGGAAAGUAUUUUUUGUCAAAAUAUUUGCUCAUGAUCUUUAAAAAUACAUAAACAGUUUUUCCAACACCAUUUCUUAAAGAGGCUAUCUUUCCUCCAGUAAGGGUGGGAAGGUUGGAGGUGCUGAAGGGAGGGAAGGAUCAAGGGGAAAAAACAAGAACCAAGGUACUUCAUGUAAAGGUACAGGAUCCCAGUGAUGAAUGUAACUGUAUUGUUUGCUUUAAAUGUGCCAAUAAACUUAAUGGGGAA
Long non-coding RNA from Fukomys damarensis (Damara mole-rat), 1337 nucleotides. Lineage: Eukaryota; Metazoa; Chordata; Mammalia; Rodentia; Bathyergidae. The record is from Ensembl.